RNAcentral lists this long non-coding RNA (2057 nucleotides) under Strongylocentrotus purpuratus (purple sea urchin). RNAcentral describes it as "uncharacterized LOC115929966". The record is from RNAcentral. Lineage: Eukaryota; Metazoa; Echinodermata; Echinoidea; Camarodonta; Strongylocentrotidae.
GGGGGGGUGUAGUCUGUAUAGACAGGUGGUCUUUCUAAACAGGAUUGGCCGAAGCAAGUUUGAUUAUAUUUUAUUUACACAAGUGUACAAAUUGAUGGUCUAGGAAACCCUUGCGUUUAGUUCUCCAACAAGAAUUCAAAUACAAAACAAUAAAUUUAUUCUCAAAAGGGGCACAUGCCUACCAUUUUUAGUGUAACUAUACUUUGGCAUGGUGCAAAAUGCCCCUGUGUCCAUUCCUGGAGCCAUCUUUGAUCUGUCUCCAACUAGAGAGGACACUUUUUCCGCAACUUUUUAUAGGAGGAAUUAUUGUUGACUUGGUAUAUUUUUAAAGCUAGUCAGUUCAACACCAUAUAUCUGGGUGCAGUGAGAAACUGUGCAAUUUAUAUUCUGUUAGAUGCAUGCAAAAUCUUGUACAUUUCUUUUAUCCACUAAAUAAUCCAUUUGAAGCUCCUUUCAUGUUUUCUUGCCGUUGGUGGAAAUCCCAAAAUUGUCUAAACCACUUUUUUUUUUUUUACUAAGUCAUUGUGCAGUUAAGUGUACAGUUGUCUUCUGUGUUACUAUGGAGAAACAUGAUUAGGAAGACUAUCCAAGGGAGACACCAAAAGCGGUCUUUAUAGGCAGGUAGAUCUUUCUUUACAGGUAGUCACAAAAGUAGGUUUGAUUGAGUUUGCAUGUACAUCUAUAUGUAGAUAACAUGAAGCAAGUUGUUAAAGAUCAUGAAGCUAGAACUAAAGAUUUGCUUGCUAUACUUUGUCAUCCUUCAUUCAUAUACAAGAGUUGCCCAUACCAGAUAAUCUCCAUUAGUAAGCUCAUUUAUCUUACCUUUAUGUUUCAAGACAUUAUUUCAGUUAGGACUGCCAUUGUGUUUAUUUUUUUGUAAGGAUUCCCAAGUCACCCUGGUACAUCUAUGACUUGCUUAAUCAUGAAUAUCUCUGACAUGCUAGUGAUUAGGAGAAAUGAAGUUUUAGUGACAACACUGAGAUAAAAAAUGAUGUACAAGGCUACAACCAUUUGAAAUUCUUUGUCUGUUUCAUAGGGACCCUUAUAUGGUCAUUUUAAGUGUGAUUGAAUUGUUCUUAUUUCAGUUUGAAUGAUCAGAGCAUACAUAAAUCAUCAUUUGAGCUUUAGAUCAUGGAGCUGAAACCUGCAAAAAGUACAGAGUUAUGACCUUGACUAAUUUCGUAAUUCUUUAGAAUAUUCUGAAGUUAAGUCUUAUAAAUAUAUUUCUAUAUUGAUUUGCAGAGUCUUUGUUCAUUUAGUUUCUUUGGUAGCUAUCUGUAUGAGGUGCACAUGUUUCAAGUAUUAUUCAAGUGUAUAUUUGAUUUAUAUUUAUGGUAGAGGUACAGUUGUACUUUUAAUUUGUAUGUUGAAGAUAACCAGCAAGGGAUAGUACUAUAUUUCUUAAAUAAGUCACUUAGUGAUGAAAUGGUCAAUUCUUUAUGGGUGUUAUUCCAGGAAAACAAAGCUGAUCUAUUUCAAAGUAAGAUAUUGUGUCUUGAGAGUCCAAAAGGUGCUAUGUUCAAACAUAUGAAAGAUAAUGCCUUCUGGCUCUCAACAGAUGAUAUCUCUUGUACUUUUGUUAAGCAUAUCUUAUUUUGCUGCAAAUAAUCUUACAUCAGUAAUUUUCUUUCCUGCAUGUAUAUUUCUGCAUUAUUUUGGGGAACUAUUUAAAUGGGAGAAUUCAGACCAUGUGGUAAUCAGCGAUUCCUCAUUUAAAGUUACAUAGCUAAAUAUGACUCCUUUAUAUGAAUACUUUAUGGAAGAUUCAAUGAGCAUCUGCAGUAUAAUUUCAUUAGUUUCUUUGUUGGCUUCAAGCAUUUUAAUUAUCCAGCAUAUAGCCACAAAUCCAUGUUCAUAAGAAAGAAAAAUAAAAUCAAUGCCUGUUCAUGUAAAUGAAACUACAUUGGUUUAAUAUGUAGAACCUACAUUGUAUGUUGAUGUGCAAGAUGACAUCAUAGAGGGAAAAAAAUAGAGACCGAUUUAUAUGCAUCUGUACAUGGGUUUACUUCAGUAAAUAAAAACAAAUAAGGAUGAACUUACCCAUCCCCUUUUCAGUA